UUUUUAAAUGGUAUUUUGACUGAGAGGGAAUGAUUUGUUCUAUGUUAAUGCAUAAAAUAUUUCAUAAUAAUAAUUUUCUCACUUUCUUGCUCAUAUAUACAUUUGCCCAUACAAUACAAAAGAUAGUCCAUAUAAUUAAUAAUCCGUACAAAAGAGAGCUAAAGGGUUAGACCGUCUAUAUAACUAAUAAUCCAUACAUAUAAUUAGAGGUCCGUACAAAUACUAAUCUAUGUAGCUUGUCGCGCAAUAAACAAAGAGCUCGCAAUCCUAUCUCGCGUGUCGUUCAUGUUGCCUUCAUCGGAUGAAGUGGGAACGACAUCGCCAAGCAAAGGUGUUGACCGUGAGACUGCAGGCAUGUAAUUUUCAUUAUCAUCACAUUUAUCAAACUCUUUAUCGCGUAGCUUGCUGUCCCUGAUGAAAUUGUGAAGCAUCAUACAAGCACUGAUAAUCACCGUCUGACUUCCCACCUUGAAGUGUGGCACAUCCCUUAGGAUGCGCCAUUUCUGCUUGAGCACACCAAAUGUGCGUUCAAUCAUGUUCCAAAGAGAAGAGUAAAGAUAAUUGAACACCUCAAAUUUACCACUCGCUGGGCGGCGGCCAGACCGAAAUUCGGCAAGGUGGUAGGUUGUCCCUUUGUAAGGAGCUAGAUACCCCACCCGGUUAGGAUAACCAGAAUCAACAAGGUAGUACAUAUCUACAUCCAUCGAGAAUAAAUUUGAGCACAUGUACAAAUUAAUACAAACAAUCUGUACAAAAUUAGAACACUUGAUUUGCGUACCUUCAGGAGGUGCAGGAUAAGUACUAGCAUACUUCAAUAUACUGUGGUGGAAAAUCCAUGUGUCAUGUACCGACCCCGCCCAACCGGCAACGACAAAGGUAAAUCUCAUGUCAAAGUCACAAACUGCCAACACAUUUUGACUUGUGUAACUAUGUCGACCCAUAUAGUUGCAGGUCUCUUUAGCGGGAACUAUAACGGGAAUGUGAGUUCCAUCAAUUGCACCAAUACAACCUUUGAAGUGAGGCCAGAAACGUUUGUCCCUAAUUUUUGGAUGCACAUCUGUGAAUGUAGGAUCUCUAGGUUUGAUGAUGUCUCCUCCUAGAGAAUUUACACAGUGCAACACAUGAUUGAACUUCCUAUGGAUUGUUUCAGUUGACCGAACAAACCGAUCUUCAGCUUGGCGAAAUGAUUGAGGGCCUCCAAGCAUCCACAAGAACAUGCCUAGACUUUCCAAUGAGUUCAUCUCGCUAGUUGACUCCAAAUGGUAGUCACUCACUAAAAGACCAUGCAAACUCAAGAAAACAUCUGGAUACAUUCUAAACAUUUUGUAGCAAGAUUUAGGACGUGCCAACUUUUCCAUAACCCAUUCAUGACCAGUUUGUACUGCAAUCCUCCUAGGCUGCCUACGUUGCUUAUUCAAACAAGUUUUGCUAUAGUGCAUAGUCAUUUGGCCCAAGGUUGCAAGAUCAGUACUUAACUUGAGCAAGUUUUUGUUGACAUCGAUUUCGGCCAAAGUGAAACAUGGUGCUUAGAUAUUACUAAAAUAAAGUAAUUUAUAUAAAAAUAGCAUGAUAAUUUUUUACCGCGCCACUCAAUAUAAAACAAUAGACCCGGAAAUAAAAGGGAAGGGAAUAAGCCAUAUCGCCAUGUAAAUUAGAGGAUAUAUACACAUACGCCAUCAUCAACGACGAAAUCCUGAUGUCGACACAAAUUCAAGUUUUAUAGACGAUGCUAAUAUUGUCAAUAUAUUAUAUCGCAUUUACGAGAAUUAUUCUAUCGUCAUGAAUGAAAUAUCAGCGACAAUCAUGUAAAACAAUAUGCUGCAUGGCAGUGUAAAAAAAUCAAGUCACCAUAUAAUCAUGAACUUGUGAAUAUUUUCUCAUGCCAUUAAAAUCAAUUUGGCUCAGCUAUCCCAGUCAUACCAAUGGCUAAGUACAUGUGUGGUGCAAGUACGAGCUAUACGUGCAUGCAUGUGUUAUGCAUGGGUUAAUUAUACGGUAAGAUUAAGAGCUAAUUGAGUAAUUAGCCAGCCCAUGGCCACAACAUGUAUAGCCUGCAUGCGUUAACUUAUUAUAAUCAGUUGGGCCCAUCCCACUAGAUUUUUUCAGCCCACUAGAGAGAUCAGAAAAGAAGUUGAUCAUGUAAAAGGCUCAGUCAAGUGCCUCACGAUCGACGGAACGUGGGCAAAGCUCCCACUACCCCACGAUCACAAGACGUAAACGUGCCCAGCCGGAGGCCUCCUGCUGCUCUCCUCGCUCCUAUAUAUACCAGCCCGGCCAGCGUGUUUGGCUGCUCAUCGAUCAAUCACUCAUUCGCGAAGAAGCUCGUCGCUGCUCAUUCACAUCCAUCCAUUGUUGCUUGCCUGCCAUCGCUCGCUUGCACACACACACACGCCUGCGUACACGCUGCCGGGCGUCCGUCUCGCCGUCGCGCCGGCCGUUUGUCCCGUCUCGCCGUCCGUCCCGCCACCGGCCGCCGUCUCAUCAUCGUCGACGUCAUGCCGACCGUCCGUCUUGCCGCAUAUAUAGUUUCUCAUCUCUUGGUUCGGUCUCAUGAUGAGCUUGAUCCCAUGUUGAUACAAAUUAAGGAAAUAGAUGAUAUGCCUAGUCUAGUCAUAUAUUGAUCUUCAUCCUAUAUACUGAUGCGAACUAAGUGCACAUGUGCAAUAAAAAAAUCUUCUUGUCUUUGUCUCAUGAUACAAGUCAAGACUAAAAAUUAUACUCAUCUUGUUUUGGUCUUAUGGUGGUCUUGCACCUCCAUGUUGAUACAAUUCAAGAACAAAUUAUAUAUAUCUUGUUUUGGUCCCAUGGUGAUGUUGCAUCUCCAUGAUGAUACAAGUCAAGAACAAAUUAUGUCCAUCUCGUUUUGGUCACAUGGUGAUCUUGAACAUCCAUGUUGAUACAAUUCAAGAAUCAAACCAUAUCCAUCUUGUUUUGGUCUCAUGGUGAUCUUGCAUCUCCGUGUUGAUACAAUUCAAGAACAAAUUAUAUAUGUCUUGUUUUGGUCUCAUGGUGAUCUUCCAUCUCCAUGAUGAUACAAUUCAAGAACUAAUUAUAUAUGUCUUGUUUUGGNNNNNNNNNNNNNNNNNNNNNNNNNNNNNNNNNNNNNNNNNNNNNNNNNNNNNNNNNNNNNNNNNNNNNNNNNNNNNNNNNNNNNNNNNNNNNNNNNNNNNNNNNNNNNNNNNNNNNNNNNNNNNNNNNNNNNNNNNNNNNNNNNNNNNNNNNNNNNNNNNNNNNNNNNNNNNNNNNNNNNNNNNNNNNNNNNNNNNNNNNNNNNNNNNNNNNNNNNNNNNNNNNNNNNNNNNNNNNNNNNNNNNNNNNNNNNNNNNNNNNNNNNNNNNNNNNNNNNNNNNNNNNNNNNNNNNNNNNNNNNNNNNNNNNNNNNNNNNNNNNNNNNNNNNNNNNNNNNNNNNNNNNNNNNNNNNNNNNNNNNNNNNNNNNNNNNNNNNNNNNNNNNNNNNNNNNNNNNNNNNNNNNNNNNNNNNNNNNNNNNNNNNNNNNNNNNNNNNNNNNNNNNNNNNNAUCUCCGUGAUGAUACAAGUCAAGAACAAAUUAUGUCCAUCUUGUUUUGGUCACAUGGUGAUCUUGAACAUCCAUGUUGAUACAAUUCAAGAAUCAAACCAUAUUCAUCUUGUUUUGGUCUCAUGGUGAUCUUGCAUCUCCGUGUUGAUACAAUUCAAAAACAAAUUGUAUAUGUCUUGUUUUGGUCUCAUGGUGAUCUUGCAUCUCCAUGAUGAUACAACUCAAGAACAAAUUAUGUCCAUCUCAUUUUGGUCUCAUGGUGAUCUUGCAUCUCCAUGUUGAUACAACUCAAGAAUAUAAGAGAAAUUCAUGCUGGUAGAAAGCAAGAUAGAUUUUCUCCUUGUGAAAUAUGGGAGGCCAAGAAAAGUAAAUAUUGCUUGUCAUUUGCAUCGGCUUGAGCUGAUUUAGUCAGAUCACUCAUGUAUUACCCUCAUAUGAAGGCAUGUAACAACAAGUUAAAUUACAUGAUAGAUAAUUUCCCUAUAGCGAUUUGCACUACAUACGACAGAGUGUGCUUGCAAUAUGGAAAUACGUAAAAUAAAUUUGAUAUUGAAACAUGCAUAUUUAUUCAUAUAUAGCUAAACUUGAGUCGACAAUCUUCAUAGACCCCAUCAUGUCCAUGCAAAACGUAACAUACUUCCAUUUGAUUACACCAUGAGCAUACAAUCUAUGCUAUGCCGGUGAUAAUACAAGCAAGAAGAAAUCACCAUACUUCAUUUAGUUAUGCUACACAUGGGCACAAUGUUGCUACAUGAUGUUAGUACAAAUACAAGUGAAGUGAAAUGCAGUUGAGAUUCAAACCCAUAUAAAUAUUUGACUAGAUUCAUUUAGUCGCAUAAGAUUAUCUCUCAGAUAAAUUAAAAUCAAACCAUGAAUUUCUUUCAUAUAGGUGCAUGCAUCUAUGAAAUUUAACUGGGGUCAUAGCCUAUGUUGAUUAUACUAAACAUGGCAUAGUACAAUUGAAUAUGUCAUCGCCAAUUUUCAUAUAGUUCUCGCAUAUGAUGGCUCGGUGCAAUGCUUUAUACGUUGCUAUAAAGUAAAUCGAAUAUUCCGCCAUUUUAGGCGUGCAUAUAGAAACCACAUGCGUGUCAAAAUUAACUCAUAAAAAGAGUUAUGCCCCAUAUUGCACAUGCGCACGUUAGCUCGGCUGGUUAACCAUUAAAUAAAUCUUUAUAUGACUGAAAAGACAACCACUACAUAUUUGCGAUGGUUAAUAAGCUAGGCAUGAUCGUGCUAUAUGAAUGAACAUUGUCAAAUCAUGAAUGUUAUGCAACGCAUAUGUUAGCAUAGACAAAGUUCAAGGCUCUCCGAGUACGCCGACGUCGAAGACCGCGAGGAGGAUUAUUUAUUUUUACAUUUUGUAGUCUUCUUUUUCUACAUUUUGUAGUACUCAUGUGUUGCAAUUCUAUGUAAUAGGAUAGUUGGAAUUCUUAAUCAGGGGUUUUCCCUUCGGAGAUGUAAUUAACAGAUCUUUUAUGUAAAUGUAAGAGUUCUGGAAAUAAUGUACCUGCAAUGUUUGAUCUCCUUUUUAUUGUAUGCAUUUACGCAUUUAAAUAUAUUCAUUCUGUAUCAAUGACGUGGACGCGUAUCCUCACAUCCGCCAUUUUCCCGUCAUCAGAUUCUGGCACGCCCAGUGGGACAUAUUUCUCCCCUCAUCUUUGAAUUCCAACAUGGGAUUGCAACAUAUGAAUUCCCAUAGUACAUAAAGCAUAAAACAUUAUGUACCCAUAUACAAAAAAAAGGUCAAAGAAAACUACUAUAUGGUUUUCUUUAUUUUGAAGGUAUGGAGGGCCAAGUGCAACAGUUUGUGACCCUUCGCUUCGGUGACCUCUGGCUUGAUGUGCCAAUUGGUCCUAUCGUGACCUCACUAAGUGAAAGUUGGAAGACUACUGCUGCAUCUCCAGUUGUACCAGAUCAAGAAGAAGUCACUUCUCCACCAAUGGAGGGGUUCACACCUGUUUUUUCAAAGUCUGCAAAGAGGAAAAUGAGGGCUGCUAGAAAUAGGGUUGCUCAGAGUUCUGCAAGAGUGGUUACUCAUGCUCCAGUGUCAGUAAUGAAAGGAAAGACUGUUGAAGCAGGACCAUCCGUUCGCCAGCAGUCCAAGGACAAGGGAAAGAAAGUGGUGUUGGAGAAAUUCGAGUUUCCGCUACUUGUUUACAAGGGAAAAGAGGAGAUGGUGGAGACACCCAACUCCAAGCUACCUGGGAAAAGAGGCGGCGUUGCGGUCAUAUUGCCGUCAGCCUCGUCUUCAACAGGAAGGCCCACCAACGCUCGGAAUAUACUUCAAGCCGAUGCUCUUGAGUUUGUCCCCUCACUGGCCCAUAAACCUAGUGAGGAAUGCUUAGGAAUAAUGAAAAAACGUUCCCUGGAAUGGAAGGGAGUGUGACUUACACCUGGUGACCUCAAAACAGGCCACAUAGAUCCAACAUCUGCACCAUCAGUUCCUCUGUUUGAAGAAGCACCCAUCUUACGAGAGUCCUUUGAAGGUUCGUUUGAUCCAAUGUGACAUGAAUGGCGACAGAGAAAUGUCCGUCGAUCUUGGAUUGAUCUUCCAGCUGUCGUAGAUCAAGAUGCGGCGAGCCGACACCGUUCUCAUGUGAGCAUGUCUGUCAAGGGGAGAUGGAAAAACACUCGUCCAAAGAUCCAAGUUCAGAAUCCAGAUGAAUCAUAUGUUGUUAAAUGCAUAUGUCAAGCAAUAAGGUCAUAGCUUCCCGGUGCAUCCACAUCACAAAAUGAUGAGGGUGGUGCCAUCAUGCGACUGGCGGAGGCCCUGGCCCAACGACCUGAGUACCAAGAGUACAUUCAGCAGCAUCCUAAACACCAAGAGUAUGUGAACCAAGCUGCUCGUGUCCGUUCAAGAAGGGCGAUGUACAAAGAAAGAGAAAGGGCAGUACGGGCAAGGUCUGGGUCGAGCAGAGUCCAAGGGGCAGAACACAUUCCAUCGGAUGAGGACAGUCGGGCUAAAGUGAACAAGUGGCUAUCAAAUCCAUCAAAUGAGGUGGCCACGAGCUUGUCUCCAUGGCCCUCUCGUAAGCAGACCAAGAAUAAAUCAUUCGAGGUGUUCCAAGCAAUGCCAGUUGGUGUCAGGGCGGCGUCAGACAAGACCAGCGAAACAUCCUCCACAUCAAUACAUUUCAAGAGGAAGAAGGCACGCAAAACUAUCGUAGAAGGUCCUCGUCGUAAGACACGAAGCCAAAAGGGUUCAGAUUAUGAAGAACUUGGGUCCAGCUGUGGUGGGUCUUAUAAUCCCCUAUCAGACAGUACCCCUUGUCCUUCUGAAAAUGAGAUAGAACUCCGCCAUAGUGCAGAGCAUACAAACCAAGUCCUAGCCGCGAAUGAAACUCGUUCGGUUGAAGAGCAAUUAGCCAACCUUAUGGCAGCACUUCAGCAAAAGGAAGACGAGCUUGCAGCCCUUCGAGUUCAAAUGAACAACAACCAAAACAAAGGAAAUGAAGGGGAUGGUGGCGCAAGUGCUAGCAGCCAACAUGGAGGAGCAGGGCUUAACCUUGAGGCGAUCCAAAGAAUGAUCGCUAAAGGGGUAAAGUCGCAGUUGAUGCAAACUCAGUACUCGAUGCGGCCAGGGUAUGUUAAGCCGUACCCACCUGAUGUGGACCUAGUUCCUUUCCCAACAAAUUACAGGCAACCGCAGUUUAGUAAGUUCAACAGGAGUGGAUCUCCCCAUGAGCACAUAGCACACUUCCUUGCUGCUUGUCAGGAUACAGCUAACAACGGAGCACUUCUCCUUAGGCAGUUUGUACAGACAUUGUCCGGGCCUGCCUUCACUUGGUACAGCAAACUACCUCCAAGCUCCAUAGAAACGUGGGAACAAAUGCAAAACUCAUUCCUCGAGCAGUUUUAUAGCACAUAGAGGACGGUGGGCAUAACUAAGUUGACCCAAAGUGAACAGAGGUUCAAUGAGAGGGCAGCUGAUUUCAUAAAUAGAUGGAGAAACCUAAGUCUUCACUGCCCACAACCAAUUACUGAGCCAGAAGCAGCGCGCAUGUGCAUGAACAAUCUCCGCUCAGAAGUGGCCGUCCAGUUACAAGGAGUGAGGCCCCUCACGUUUGGAGAGUUAGCUUCCAAAUCCACGAAUAUAGAAAAUUUUAUGCAGCUUGUCGCUCGUCGAACAAAAACGACGUUCAACAAGCCUACAUACAAAGGUGGUCAGCGUGAAAAGUUGCCGAUGAAACCCAAGUCUGCAUAAGCCAUGGAGACAACAACGGUAAAACCUCGGUUUCAGCCCGGAAGAGCACCUAUAGGGAACCAAGGACAACGAGAUGCACAUGUUGGUAGGAGGCCAACUCUAAGCGAACGACAAAACAGGGAGUACUCUUUUCCUGUAGAAGAAAUUGAUGACCUUUUCACUGGUUUAAAGGAGUUGAGUCUGAUAGAACUUUCCAAGCCCAAAAGGCCGGAAGAAGCUUCAAAAUUUGAUGAUCCAAAUUUCUGUCACUACCAUCGCAUUUUGGGCCAUACACUCAAAGAUUGCUUUGUUGUGAAGAAUAUCAUCCAGAAAAUGAUCGAUGAGGGGACCAUUGAUGCGGAUCUCCUCAAAAGCAUGACAAAGGGAAAGAAAAAGGCUUCAGAAAAUGUCGCCACCCUCCAAGAUGAAGCGGUGAGUUGUGCAUCUUCAAAUAUGAGGGGUACUUAUGAUGAUUCAAUACUGAUUUCCGAAUAUGGUUGUUCUCCUAUGAUAAUUCCAGGCCUUGCCAAAUCGCAAGAUCAGCAUAAAGGAGAGGCUCACAUUCCCUGCAGUAAUGGUGCAGCCCAAGAUUGGGGGCAACGGCGGUCAAAACGCCGUGUACUACCCCCAGUGAUGGAAGAAGCCCCUCCUCUGCGCUUCGCACGAAAGAUAUAUCAGCACACCACGAAGCGCAUGAGAGUACCAAGUGAAGAAUUCAAUGUUCUCACUAUUGGUGUGUUCGAGGAUGACGGCGAGUCUCUGUGCUUCCCUGAAGAAGAACCGUUAGAAGUUGAUCAGGUUCAUCUUAGAUCAGGUCGUCAAUUAGCAGACCCUCAUCCUCCACCUUGAAAGGAACCAAAAAGUAAGGAUGCAGUUCCGAAUGAUUCGACGGACCCUGCAUGUAGGGUGCCAGUCAAGUAUGAUGUAAUCGCACAUUUGAAGAAAAUACCAGCUAUGCUUUCUGUGUAUGAUGCUUUGUGUCUUUCAUCUGAUAUGCGUAAAGCUCUUGUCACGGCACUCACGUUUCUUGAAGACUACAGAGUAGAAGUAUCUCAAACCGAGGUAGAAGAAUCUGAAGUUCUAAAUAUGACGUUCACAGAUGAGGAUAUGUUAUUAGGCCCCAAGAAGCACAACAGACCUCUUCUCAUGUUCGGCGAAAUUGAUGUAUUGCCAAUAAAUCGCAUAAUGAUAGAUGGUGGGUCAGCUAUAAAUCUGCUACCAUUGCGUACGCUCAAAAAGAUUGGAUAUUCCAAGGGAGAUUUGAGCAAGUCUAACGUGGUUAUACAUGGAUUUAACCAAUCAGGACAAGAAGCUAUGGGUACCAUUUCGUUGGUUUUAAAAUUGGAUACAUUAUCCACAUAUGUGAAGUUUCACGUGAUUGAUGCGGCUACAUCAUAUAAUGCAUUGCUUGGACGCCCAUGGUUACACGAUAAUCAAGUUGUGCCAUCCACUUUACAUCAGUGUUUCAAAUAUAUAGAUCGGACAGGUGAUACAAUCAGAAUAUUUGCUGAUAAGAAGCCAUUCACUAUAGCCGAAUCUUUCUAUGCUGAUGCAAAGUUCUACUUCGAGCCCGUUGAUAAGGUGUAGAAGCCAAAAUCCUGGAAAAUACCCGAGCCAAAUGUGGUAGAAAAGGAGGUCGUAGAAUCCUCGUCAAAGAAAAAGACCUAUCAGUAUAUACCAAGCAACCAAAGGAAGAAGGGUGACCCAAUAUUUCGUGUCAUAGACAAAUCCCAUGACAUGAAAGGUACUAAUUUCCCUACACCUUUACCUCCUUUGGUACAAUAUAGAAUAAAACAAUCCCAAAAAGAGUCGCGUCGUUCAAACGUCGGUGAAAGUGAAAAGAGAAAUACAACACAAAUAUUUGCGUUUAACAAAGAUGAUGAAUCUUUACCCAUUUCUUUGUAUGAUAACAGGGUCUUGUACAUGAUGCAGCAAAUGGGCUAUGACAUCGCCACUGGCCCGUCCUUAUGUGAUGGCCGGGGACAACUAGCACCAUUCAAAAAUGUGUUAUCUCAAGAACAACUCGAAGCUCUGCAUGAAGACCAUGUUUUAAAAGAAAUGAAGCAUGGGUUAGGAUAUGAGGUUUGUAUGGCUUCGGCUGAGUAUACGAACAUGACAGAAGCAUCUCCACAAAUGGAGGAUGGCAACCAAUGUACCGUGGAUGACUUGGAAGAAAUAAAUAUUGGUACGACUGAUGAUCCUCUUCCAAUUUUUAUUAGCAAACAUUUGUCCAAAGAAAAUAAACUAAAAUAUCAUGAAUUCCUACGUGCAAAUAGAGACGUAUUCGCUUGGACUUAUGAAGAAAUGCCUGGGUUGGACCCAAACAUAGCUGUCCAUCGCCUUGAUGUGCGAGAUGAUGCCACACCAGUGAAGCAAGCUCAAAGAAAGUACCGGCCUGAAAUACUUCCGCAAAUAGAAGCCGAGGUCGACAAACUCAUAGCCGCAGGGUUUAUUAGAGAAGUCAAAUAUCCCACAUGGGUCUCUUGUAUUGUACCAGUUAAAAAGAAGAAUGGUUAAACACGCAUAUGUGUAGAUUUCAGGGAUAUGAAUAAAGCAUGUCCUAAAGAUGAUUUCCCAAUACCCAUCUCUAAAAUACUAGUUGAUGCUACUAUGGGGCAUGAAAUAUUUUCUUCCAUGGAUGGUUGUUCCGGCUAUAAUCAAAUUAAAAUGGCACUUGAAGAUGAAGAGUUAACAGCAUUCCGCACACCUAAAGGCAUAUAUUGCUAUAAAGUAAUGCCUUUGGGAUUAAAAAAUGCUGGGGCGACAUAUCAACAAGCAAUGACAAUCAUCUUAGACGGGUUGUUAUAUGUGAUCAUUGAAUGCUAUAUAGAUGACAUAGUUGUGAAAUCAAAGCACGAACAAGACCACCUGAAACACCUUGAAAUGGUUUUUGAGCGUCUCAGGCAACAUAAUCUUAAAAUGAACCCCAUGAAGUGCGCGUUCGGAGUUUCCUCUGGAAAAUUUCUCGGUUUUGUGGUUACAAAAAAUGGUAUUCAGAUCGAUCCAAGUAAAAUAAAGGCGAUUGUUAAGAUGCCAUCACCCACUAACUUACAUGAACUGAAGAGUUUCCAAGGCCACCUAGCAUAUAUUAGGAGGUUUAUCUCAAAUUUAUCUGGGAGAUGCAAACCUUUCUCGUGGCUUAUGAAGAAAGGAGUCCCUUUUGAAUGGGAUCAAACAUGCCAAAAUGCAUUCCUAGAAAUUAAGAAAAUUUGAUAAAUCCUCCUGUUUUAGGCGCACCGAUUAAAGACCGACCAUUAAUUCUCUAUACUGCUGCAAUGCCUACUUCACUAGGAGCACUCCUGGCGCAAAAUAAUGAUGUAGGAAAGGAAACAUCCUUGUAUUAUCUUAGCCGCGCCUUGGUAGGGGCCGAGUGCAACUAUCCAGACAUGGAAAAAAUAUGUCUCGCACUGGUGUUCGCUGCACAAAAAUUGCGACACUACAUGUUAGAACACACUGUACAUUUAGUCUCAAGAGCAGACCCACUCAGAUAUAUCUUAAGUAAAAUGGUACUCUCAGGGAGACUAGCUAAAUGGGCGAUGCUUUUGUCACAAUUUGACAUCACGUAUAUACCGCAAAAGGCCGUAAAAGGCCAAGCUUUGGCUAACUUCCUUGCGGCACAUCCGAUCCCAGAUGAUUUUCCUAUAGAUGAUGACUUGCUAGAUGAGGACGUAUUCGCCACGACGGUUACAAAAUCAACGUGGCAAAUGUACUUUGAUGGCGCUUGCCGGCAAUCUGGGUUAGGCGCCAGAGUCAUUUUCAUUACGCCUAACGGAGGGGUGAUCCCAUACUCAUUUACCCUAACCUCGGCGGUGUCAAAUAAUUCGGCCGAAUAUGAAGCUCUUAUCAUUGGGCUUGAAAUAGCAAUAAACAUGGGGCUCGAUACGCUCUCUGUUUAUGGGGACUCACAAUUAGUGAUUAAUCAACUGAUGGGGACCUACAUGGUAAAGAAACAAGAAUUGUUGCCAUAUUUCGAAAGGGCAAAAGAGCUCCUAGCUAUGUUCAAAGAUCUAAAUAUUCAACACGUAGUUAGGAACCAAAAUGAAAAGGCCGAUGCCUUAGCUGGUUUAGCUGAUGGUAUGUCAUUAAACUCAGACGAAACAAUGGGCGUACAUGUAGAGGAGCGAAGAAUACUGCCAAUAUUUGCUGAAGAAGAAGAAGCGAUAGUAUCUUCUGCAAUGACAGCUGAUGUAUGUGAAAUCGAGGUAGGGGAUUGGCGAGCUCCGUUCCUCGAAUAUCUACUCAUGGAUACCUACCUCUUGAUGCUAGCGAAAGAUCUAGAAUUCUCAAAAGGUCAACCCAUUACACAUGCAUCAAUGACAUACUCUAUAGGCAUUCCCAUGAUGGCAUAUUAUUGCGCUGCCUUGCCGGAAAUGAAGUUAUGGAGGCCUUAAAUGAGGUGCAUGCUGGAAUAUGUGGCUCGCACCAAUCAGGGCCUAAAUUGCACUAACAAUUAAGGCGUCUAGGUUACUACUGGCCCAUAAUGUUUGAAGACGCCACUAAAUUUGCAAAGAAAUGCCAUGAAUGUCAAGUGCAUGCUGACUUUAUACAUCAGCCGCAUGAACCACUCCAUGCGACAAAUAUGUCUUGGACUUUUGAAAUGUGGGGAAUGGAUAUAGUUGGGCCAAUUCAUCCACCAUCGUCCAAAGGUCACAAAUUUAUUUUGGCAGCAACAGACUAUUUUUCCAAGUGGGCUGAACUUACACCACUGAAGGAAGACAAAGCGGAGAAUGUAGAAUAUUUUAUAAGAACACAACUCAUUUAUCGCUUUGGUGUUCCUUCUUGGAUUAUGUCUGAUAAUGGAACUCCGUUUAAAAACAAACAAGUGGAGAGAUUAUGCUCAAAGUUUAAGAUAGACCAUCAUUACUCCACGGCAUAUAAUCCUGCCGUCAAUGGACAAGCAGAAGCUUUCAACAAAACUCUUUGCAAGUUACUAAAGAAAGUUGUAUAAAAAAAUAAACGUGACUGGCAUGAAAAGCUUCUCGAAGCCUUGUGGGCUUAUAGAACCACAACACGCACGCCGACAGGAAUGACACCUUAUUCCUUAGUAUUUGGAGGAGAAGUUGUUCUACCUUUGGAGGUACAGAUCACGUCGUUGAGGGUCGCUACACAUGAAAAUUUGUCGGAAGAAAAAUCAGUACAAUUACGUCUCGAUGAAUUAGAAAGACUAGAAGGUAGACGACUUCAAGCUUUGCAAAAUCUUGAGGCAUAUCAAGCUAGGAUAUCCCGAGCAUUCGACAAACGAGUCAAAAGAAGGUCGUUCAAACAAGGAGAUCUAGUACUUGCGGUCAUCCGUCCUAUGAAUAUCGCGCGACAGAUGAAAGGAAAAUUUGAACCAAAAUGGGAAGGUCCCUUCGUUAUAAAAGAGGUUUAUUCUAGCGGCGCAUAUAGAAUCAUAUCACCGGAUGGGGAAUACUCGCCGGCACCGGUAAAUGGGAAAUUCCUUAAGCGUUACUAUGCACCCUCACGAGUCUAAACUGGGGCGCAUAAGAAAAAAAAAGAGAAUAUACUCCAUACCUUCACGAGUCUAAACUAGGACACAAAAAAAUACUACUCCAACGACUUACGAGUAUAAACUGUGAUGCAAAUAAAACAAAUCAUCGAGGGCGCUCCAUACCCUCAUGAGCAUAAACCGGGGCAGACCAAAAUCACUCCAAUAAACUUACGAGUCUAAACUGUGGCAGAUUUUUUUUAUAGACUCCAACAACUUACGAGUAUAAACUAUGAUGUAAAAAAAAUUAAUUCCAGACUUCAUAAGCUUAAACCGCCGUACAAAAAAAUGGUACGUACAUGCAUUUAUAUAAUAAAAAAAUUGGAUAAAAUAAAUAAGGCUUCAGGCCAUACACAACGAUAGUGUAAAUAAAUAAGGAUGCUUCAACGUCAAGACUGGCGUACUAACACAUCAUGCAUAAAAUUUGGAGUUCCCACGUGAAUAAAGAAAGUACUGAUACAUCUGAAUUGAAACUGAAGACUGAAAUUAAAUGGUUCGAAGCGGAAUGAUGGUUUGAAAUGACCAAAAAAACUAAACGAAGUCGACGCCCUCUCAAGGAGCUCGCCAGUUCUGCAGGUUGUUCAACAACUGACUUGCUUCGGUCUUUAAAUCUGUUGUCUUUUGUUUAAAUUUAGCAAGCCUUGUACGUUUGCCAGCAUUGGUAUCCUGUAGACUCUUCAGCAACUUCUUCUGUUCAGAUUGAUGGGCAUCAUGUGCUUGUCGGCGCUGUUCCAUUUCCAAUUUAAGCUUGUGCAAAGUAGCAGUAACCUCUUCAAGCUGGGCCUUCAAUUCUGCUUCUUGUGCCUCCAUUUCAGUGCACUUAUUUUCCACGGCAGAUAAGUCCCCAAUUAUGUCCUUGGAAACUUCAUGGCCAAACUUAAUAUUAAGUUCUAUUUCAGCAACAACAUGUUCAUCUCGCUCGGAUUCUUUCGUGAAUUCGGUCUGGCCACUCUCCAACUUCUUGGAAAGGUCAAUAAGCCCGACCAACAUGGCCUGCACCUUAGCUACCUCAGGCACUUGCGUGGGCAGCGUCUGAGAAACACUCUCAAGCAUGAUGCGUCGCUCGGGAUCACCAAGGGUAGAGUCGUUCAGUCCUUUGAGGGCUCGUUUCACUAUGAAAUCUGUAGCAUCCAUAAACAUGUCCUUGAUGAAACUGCAGUCCAUCUGUGCGCCUUUCCCUGAUACAACCAUCACCUCAGGGUCUGGUGAGUGGCGAAUUUCUUGGUCACAACCUAAAAAAAGGAAGAGUCGUGAGAAUUUGAUGAUAAUGAUGGUUCAUAGAUACGGCCAAUUAAAUAAAUAUUUAUAGGUAAAUAAACUACCAGUUAAAGUUGAUAAGAAAUCAAGAGCAUUAGGGGUAUGGGGCACAACUUUAGUCGCACCUGGGCUGGAAGGUGGAUAACUUGUGCCACACUCGCCAAAGGUAUAAUCCUCGACAGAUAAAUCGAAAAGGUCACCAAGGCCAUGGUCCUUUUCUCCCGUGAGAACAUGGCCAAAAUCUUCAUCAUUAACAAAGCUACUAAGUUCAACAUCUAUUGACGGACCGUCCAAGGUUAUUGGUUCAGAAAAAUCAUUUUCUUGGGAAAAAUCAAGUUUGCGCUUGAAGGGGAGCCUCUCUUCUUCGUCAGCAUGAGUGGGCCAUAAAUUUCUACGCUUCUGUCCGCCGGUGGCCAGGGCAGUUUCCGGAAGAUCAUCACUACACACUAGCAAUGGAUGAGCAGAGGAAGAACCAACUGCAACAACAGACUUUGAUACGCCACUUUGCUGCAGCUAUAUAUAUAUAAAAGGAUGAUAUUAUUAGUACUGAUUAGUACAACAAAGAAAUGAACAAGUUGCACGCAGACCAUUAACUCACCUCUCUAGAUUUCAUGGGUUGAGUAGCAACAACAUCCUUAACCUUUCGCUUCUUCUAUUAAAAGGAGAUAUAGAAAAAAUGAGACAAAGAAAGGAGCAAACGAACUAUGGUAGUACCAAAUAUAUAUAGACGUAUAUAUCUUACCUUUUUCGAGUUGAUUAAAGGUUCAUCAUUUGAGAGAAAGCCACACAGAAUGGGACACCAGUGGUCCAUAAUUAUCUUUCCAUUCAAUUUGAUGGCUGCAAUAUGUUCCUCCCUACCCCUGGCGGAGGCUUCCUUUAUAACAACAAAAUCAUUCUCUGAAAGCUUGCGAGGAACUAUGUACUCCUCCCCACGUUUCAAAAAAUUACGUUUCCGCCUAUUAUAAUUCGGACCAUUCGAGAUGCCCGGACGAAGAGUAUUGAAUAUGUUGUUAAAUGGUUUCAUAAAUCCCACCCACCAGUUGUUCCAGGCCACAGAAGAAAAUGCCUCAUGCGCAUCGUUAAGAAGGUACUAGAACUCCCCUUGGUCCGAGCGUAACAAAUGCGACCAAUACGCAUAUGCAACUCCAAUAUCCGCCUUUGUGUACACGCUGACCAACGGAGCAUAGGGCACUUGUUGUCUCAAAGUAAGUUGUCGUGCAACUCGAUCAGGAUGAUAUGGCUCCGCUAUGCAAAGAUCAUCAACAUCAGUAGCACGCCUCCAUGGAAGCAUACCCCGAUGUGAAGAAAUGGUGAAGGACCUUUGCAACUGAUCCACCCCGACUAAGUUCUUUGGAGCAUAAGGAUUCCAAAAAAUAUUGGCUCGGUCAUCAAGGAAAAUGCGUGCCUUAGCAGGACUGAAAGUUAUGGGAACCCGAAACAUAGUUUUAACCAUGGUUGGAUGCAUCGGCAGUUGCUUAACAUCUCGAAGAUGUUUCCCUUUCACUUUGUCCUUAAAUGGUUUUCUCAGAUAAAGACCCAUCCACCCCGCGAUAUAAUGCACUGGCCAAAUUCUUUUCUCAUAGGAGGGAGCAACGGGGUGCAUACUGAUCCUUCGAAGAGAAUAAUACAAUGAACAAAGUGCUGAGGGGGCCAAAGAGAUCUUGCGACCCGAGACGAUCCAAGAGGCCAUAAGAAGGACACCGGGACGAAUAUAAGGCCCCCCACCAACAACCACGUAAGAGCAAAGCCAGUGGGCUAUAAAAGCCGCAAUAUACAUGUGUUGUUCCCGAAGGGAGGUGAAAGACGAAGUGCGUUCGCGUUUGUUAUGGAAAUGGUCACACCAAACUUGAAAAGUCACACUCCCAUUUUCGCGGCUGAGCCGGUAGAAUUCUUCUAAAAGACCAGAUAAGAAAUUUGGGAACAUAAGCUUUGAAGGUUCUAGGUCAUCUAUAGAAGGAACAUAUUCCUCGUAUGGAUCUCCAACUGAAGGAAGACCCGACAUUAGAAGCAUGUCAAGCAGAAUCACGGUGCGUUCACCAGAUGAAAAAAGAAAAGUAUUUGUUUCUAGAUCCCAUCUUUCCAGUAAUGACCUCAGUAACGAAUCUGAAACUUCAUAUUCACCGAGGGAGCAAUAAAUGGCCCCAUAUAUAUAAUCGGUGUUCUCCGCUUCGCCUUUCAAACAAAACGAGUGGUUAUUCAAUAUAGAUAUGCCCCACUCAACAUAGCCUUUGGAUUGCGGAACAUACUCGGCUGUGUGACCAUCCCAACCUAGACCUUUUGCUACCAUCCUGGUCCCUAGGGUGUAGGCUUCAUGAUUAGGUUUAGGAUAAGGUGCUAGUGGAUGAAAAGAAUAGUCACUAACGGUAGACCCCACAUUCCAACCACGAGGAUGGCGCGUCAAAUCCGCAUGUGCGAGCACCUGCCGUCUGAUCACUAGGUUGACCUCUUCACUAGUAUUAGGCUCAUAUAGAUGUCGCUCAGCUAACUGACAAAUCGAUAGUUCAUUGGAAGGAAUAGACCCCUCACCACGCGCCAUCUAUAUGUAAAAAGGCACAAAAUGAAUACGAUGGCAUGUAUAUGUGUAAAAGAGACGUCGGGUUAAAUAAGAAAAGAAGAAGGGAAACUCACGGUGGGUUACCUAGCUUUAUUAGCGACUAUCUCCAGCCAACAAUUUAAAUAUUCUCCCUGUAAAACAAAAAAAAGGAACACUCGGGUAAAUAAAAGACAUCAGACCCAAGCAUAUAAUGUAAAUGUUAUGAUGUGCUUGUCGCAAAAAAAAGAACAUAUUUUCGACAUAAUAUAUAUGUGACGCUUAUAAUAGUCUCCACGGUCGUCUGACAGACUAAGCCCACAUAUGGACUUACCGGGACGCCAACCAAAAAGAAAAGGAGACAUUUUUUACAUCAUAUAUAUGUGGUGGUUAUAAUCUUCCACGGCCGUACGACGGACCAAACCCACAUAGGGAUUUGCCGGGACGCUGACCGUGAGAAAAAAAUAUAUUGUUGGCAUAAUAUAUAUACAUGGCAUUUGUAAUCAUCUCCGCGGUUGUACGACGGACCAAGCCCAUAUAGGGACUUGCCGGAACGCCAACGGGAGAGAAAUCAUAUUUUCGACACACAUGCUAGGCUUGUUGUUCUCGACGGUCGUACGACGGACCAAGCCCACAUAGGGACUUGCCGGUUCACCAACCGUGAAAAAAAUAAAUUUUCAACAUAAUAUAUAUGUGGCACUUAUAAUCAUCUCCACGGUCGUACGACGGACCAAGCCCACAUAGGGACUCGCCGAGACGCCCACCAUGAGAAAAACAUAUUGCCGGCAUAAUAAAUAUACAUGGCACUUGUGAUCAUCUCCGCAGUUGUACGACGGACCAAGCCGAUAUACGGACUUGCCGGAACGCCAACUGGGAAGAAAUCAUAUUGUGAACAUAUAUGCUAUACUUAUUGAUCUCAACGGUUGUACGACGGACCAAGCCCGCAUAGGGACUUGCCGGAACGCCAACUGAAAAGAAAUCCGGGGCUGAUCAAAACGGUUGUACGACAGGCCAUUCUCAUAUAAGAACUUGCCGAGCAAAAUUCGUGAGGAAAUUAUUGGCAUAGGUUACAUAAAAGAAAAUUGAUCAAAGAUGAAAAGGAUCUAUACUACACAGAUAAGUCUUCACGGUUGUACGACGGACCAAGUUCAAACAAACUUGCCGGCACGCCAACCGUGAAACCAAGAUGUUUCUUGAUCACACAUACAUCCAGAAGAGACACCAUCCCUAUAUAUAAACAAAAAAUCACAUGUUGUAUACUGUGCGUUGCGUGCAUGACUACGGUAUAUAUCCUACUUUCAAACAAAGACAGGAAGGAGACGGACCUCGAAGAUAUGGUACCUGGCUGGAAAAAAACGUGCAAUCUGUUCUACUAGAUUGUAAUCAUCUCACCUAAAUAAAACAAAAGGGAGAGAUGGGAAGUCAGAUUAAGAUGCAUUAACCAUCUACUCCUAAGAGCAGCAAUCACGUACUCACCAACAUCUGAGGCAGGAAUCAAUCUACACUUCUGCGGGGGUUGCUAGCUUUUGUGCCUAACAAAAGAUAAAGUGAAGGUCAGUUGCAUGACGAAGAGGCAAGGCCAGAUGCAAUCGUUGAUUUAAUCGCGAUACAUACCGGAAGUCUCCGAAGAGUAGAGCUAGAUUGAGAUCGCCAAGGAGCCGUAGUAGCACACAAGCUGAAGCUAAAGGAUAUAAGGAAGAAGAAAAUAAGCUGGUUUGGUUACCAAACCAACGACGAGAAAAGUACCGCUCAGCACGCUAUGAGAUCUCGGCAACAACGCUAGCAGUUCAAACCAUUAGCUCCUUAUCCUUUGGAGUCUCAACUAAUUCUCAAGCCGGCAAACUUGUAACAACCCUCCAGGAUUAAGGCCUUAUCCACUUAAAUGAUCCAAACAAACUUAAAAUAACAUACGUACAACGCACCUGGCCGACUAUCAAGACGGCUAUUUUAAUAAAACAUGCAUACACCUCCAGCGCCAAGCCAAAUCUCUGAGGCACGUAAAAAAAAGAUACAUAUACUUUCGAGCUCUGAAUCCGAAUUAAAAAAAAACAUUCGCAUUCAGACCUCGAGAGGCAUCUGUUGACAUCGAUUUCGGCCAAAGUGAAACAUGGUGCUUAGAUAUUACUAAAAUAAAGUAAUUUAUAUAAAAAUAGCAUGAUGAUUUUCUACCGCGCCACUCAAUAUAAAACAAUAGACCCAGAAAUAAAAGGGAAGGGAAUAAACCAUAUCGCCAUGUAAAUUAGAGGAUAUAUACACAUACGCCAUCAUCAACGACGAAAUCCUGAUGUCGACACAAAUUCAAGUUUUAUAGACGAUGCUAAUAUUGUCAAUAUAUUAUAUCGCAUUUACGAGAAUUAUUCUAUCGUCACGAAUGAAAUAUCAGCGACAAUCACGUAAAACAAUAUGCUGCAUGGCAGUGUAAAAAAAAUCAAGUCACCAUAUAAUCAUGAACUUGUGAAUAUUUUCUCAUGCCAUUAAAAUCAAUUUGGCUCAGCUAUCCCAGUCAUACAAAUGGCUAAGUACAUGUGUGGUGCAAGUACGAGCAUGCAUGUGUUAUGCAUGGGUUAAUUAUACGGCAAGAUUAAGAGCUAAUUGAGUAAUUAGCCAGCUCAUGGCCACAACACGUAUAACCUACAUGCGUUAACUUAUUAUAAUCAGUUGGGCCCAUCCCACUAGAUUUUUUCAGCCCACUAGAGAGAUCAAAAAAGAAGUUGAUCACGUAAAAGGCUCAGUCAAGUGCCUCACGAUCGACGGAACGUGGGCAAAGCUCCCACUACCCCACGAUCACAAGACGUAAAUGUGCCCAGCCGGAGGCCUCCCGCUUCUCUCCUCGCUCCUAUAUAUACCAGCCCGACCAGCGUGUUUGGCUGCUCAUCGAUCAAUCACUCAUUCGCGAAGAAGCUCGUCGCUGCUCAUUCACAUCCAUCCAUCGCUGCUUGCCUGCCAUCGCUCGCUUGCACACACACACGCGCCUGCGUACACGCUGCCGGCUGUCCGUCUCGUCGUCGCGCCGACCGUUUGUCCCGUCUCGUCGUUCGUCCCGCCGCCGGCCGCCGUCUCAUCAUCGUCGACGUCACGCCGACCGUCCGUCUUGCCGCAUAUAUAGUUUCUCAUCUCUUGGUUCGGUCUCAUGGUGAGCUUGAUCCCAUGUUGAUACAAAUCAGGGAAAUAGAUGAUAUGCCUAGUCUAGUCACAUAUUGAUCUUCAUCCUAUAUACUGAUGCGAACUAAGUGCACAUGUGCAAUAAAAAAAAUCUUCUUGUCUUUGUCUCAUGAUACAAGUCAAGACUAAAAAUUAUACUCAUCUUGUUUUGGUCUUAUGGUGGUCUUGCACCUCCAUGUUGAUACAAUUCAAGAACAAAUUAUAUAUAUCUUGUUUUGGUCCCAUGGUGAUCUUGCAUCUCCAUGAUGAUAUAAGUCAAGAACAAAUUAUGUCCAUCUCGUUUUGGUCACAUGGUGAUCUUGAACAUCCAUGUUGAUACAAUUCAAGAAUCAAACCAUAUCCAUCUUGUUUUGGUCUCAUGGUGAUCUUGCAUCUCUGUGUCGAUACAAUUCAAGAACAAAUUAUAUAUGUCUUGUUUUGGUCUCAUGGUGAUCNNNNNNNNNNNNNNNNNNNNNNNNNNNNNNNNNNNNNNNNNNNNNNNNNNNNNNNNNNNNNNNNNNNNNNNNNNNNNNNNNNNNNNNNNNNNNNNNNNNNNNNNNNNNNNNNNNNNNNNNNNNNNNNNNNNNNNNNNNNNNNNNNNNNNNNNNNNNNNNNNNNNNNNNNNNNNNNNNNNNNNNNNNNNNNNNNNNNNNNNNNNNNNNNNNNNNNNNNNNNNNNNNNNNNNNNNNNNNNNNNNNNNNNNNNNNNNNNNNNNNNNNNNNNNNNNNNNNNNNNNNNNNNNNNNNNNNNNNNNNNNNNNNNNNNNNNNNNNNNNNNNNNNNNNNNNNNNNNNNNNNNNNNGUCAAGAACAAAUUAUGUCCAUCUCGUUUUGGUCACAUGGUGAUCUUGAACAUCCAUGUUGAUACAAUUCAAGAAUCAAACCAUAUCCAUCUUGUUUUGGUCUCAUGGUGAUCUUGCAUCUCCGUGUUGAUACAAUUCAAGAACAAAUUAUAUAUGUCUUAUUUUGGUCUCAUGGUGAUCUUGCAUCUCCAUGAUGAUACAACUCAAGAACAAAUUAUGUCCAUCUCAUUUUGGUCUCAUGGUGAUCUUGCAUCUCCAUGUUGAUACAACUCAAGAAUAUAAGAGAAAUUCAUGCUGGUAGAAAGCAAGAUAGAUUUUCUCCUUGUGAAAUAUGGGAGGCCAAGAAAAGUAAAUAUUGCUUGUCAUUUGCAUCGGCUUGAGCUGAUUUAGUCAGAUCACUCAUGUAUUACCCUCAUAUGAAGGCAUGUAACAACAAGUUAAAUUACAUGAUAGAUAAUUUCCCUAUAGCGAUUUGCACUACAUACGACAGAGUGUGCUUGCAAUAUGGAAAUACGUAAAAUAAAUUUGAUAUUGAAACAUGCAUAGUUAUUCAUAUAUAGCUAAACUUGAGUCGACAAUCUUCAUAGACCCCAUCAUGUCCAUGCAAAACGUAACAUACUUCCAUUUGAUUACACCAUGAGCAUACAAUCUAUGCUAUGCCGGUGAUAAUACAAGCAAGAAGAAAUCACCAUACUUCAUUUGGUUAUGCUACACAUGGGCACAAUGUUGCUACAUGAUGUUAGUACAAAUACAAGUGAAGUGAAAUGCACUUGAGAUUCAAACCCAUAUAAAUAUUUGACUAGAUUCAUUUAGUCGCAUAAGAUUAUCUCUCGGAUAAAUUAAAAUCAAACCAUGAAUUUCUUUCAUAUAGGUGCAUGCAUCUACGAAAUUUAACUGGGGUCAUAGCCUAUGUUGAUUAUACUAAACAUGGCAUAGUACAAUUGAAUAUGUCAUCGCCAAUUUUCAUAUAGUUCUCGCAUAUGAUGGCUCGGUGCAAUGCUUUAUACGUUGCUAUAAAGUAAAUCAAAUAUUCCGCCAUUUCAGGCAUGCAUAUAGAAACCACAUGCGUGUCAAAAUUAACUCAUAAAAAGAGUUAUGCCCCAUAUUGCACAUGCGCACAUUAGCUCGGCUGGUUAACCAUUAAAUAAAUCUUCAUAUGACUGAAAAGACAACCACUACAUAUUUGCAAUGGUUAAUAAGCUAGGCAAGAACGUGCUAUAUGAAUGAACAUUGUCAAAUCAUGAAUGUUAUGCAACGCAUAUGUUAGCAUAGACGAAGUUCAAGGCUCUUCGAGUACGCCGACGUCGAAGACCGCGAGGAGGACUAUUUAUUUCUACAUUUUGUAGUCUUCUUUUUCUACAUUUUGUAGUACUCAUGUGUUGCAAUUCUAUGUAAUAGGAUAGUUGGAAUUCUUAAUCAGGGGUUUUCUCUUCGGAGAUGUAAUUAACAGAUCUUUUAUGUAAAUGUAAGAGUUUUGAAAAUAAUGUACCUGCAAUGUUUGAUCUCUUUUUUAUUGUAUGCAUUUACGCAUUUAAAUAUAUUCAUUCUGUGUCAAUGAUGUGGAUGCGUAUUCUCACGCCCGCCAUUUUUCCGUCAUCAGUUUUGAAGUUGCACUGUCUUUAUGUUAGCAUCAUCAUCGUCACCACCUCCGCCGUCAAUUCCAUCAGUCUACAAAUGGAACAUGACAACAAGAUUAGUUGUCAUAUCCAUUAUUCAUACAUAUGGGAAAAUAGCAUUCAAAUAAGCAAAUGGUUCAUAUCCAGCAAAGCCAAUAGUUCACACACGAAUGGUACAGACCAACAACAUAGCAUAAUCCAAGCAUUCAAAUAAGCAAAUGGUACAGACCAACAACAUAGCAUAAUCGAAGCAAAGAACUAAGCAAUUAUUCUAAACGAGAAGUUACAUAGCAUAAUCAUGCGCUCUCUCGAGCCAAUCAAACCUUCCUUCCUUGGUCUGAACCGAUGCAAACAUUUCUCUAUACUCAGCCUUCAUAAAUAGCAUGCUCGAAGAGAAAAAGAGAGGAUUUCCUUCCUCAACUCCACAUUCACGAACCAUCUUCAUUGCCUCAUUCAUACUAGGUCCAACCGGAGUAGGGGGGGGAGCAACCAGAGGAGGGGGAGGACGAGCCAUGCUGGAGCUAGAUGCUUCUUUUAUACUUUCAGCCGUUACACAUAUCGCAUCACUAGCCUUCUUGUACAUCCGAACAAAUGGGUUCUUCUCAUCUUGAGCAGAAAAAUCAUCUUUACAGGACUUGGUCUUUCGCUGCUUCUUUGGUUUUGCUUUGAUGACUUCAUCAUUAUCCUCUGCACUAUCAGUGUCAUCACUAACAUCCUCCUUGUCCAAUGGUAUCUCACCGGGGAUAGCUGACUCGGCACCGGUGACAUGACGGUCAUCAAACAUGAGGUCCAUUUCAGCCAAGUUGGGUGGUCCUCCAUUCCUAUACUUUGCAUGCUCCGGGUUUUUUUGAAAUAUAGCAAAAGAACAAACGGUUAGCUAAAUGGAUAAUUAAGAUAAUAUAAACCCAAUGUAAAUGCUAUGAGUAACAUGAACUUACUAUUAGGUGAGUGUUCCACCAAUCAGUAUCAGCAUCAAUGGUUCCUAGCUUAGCAUUCCAUCCAAGUCCAGAUGCGUCAAUUUGCAGUUGUUUCCAUUGACAAUACAUAGUUUUGAGAUUUUCCCAUCUAUUCUUGAAUUGCAUCCUCACAUAACUUUUCUUAGUUAUCUGCAACCAACUCUCCCCUAAAUUCUUAUAUCCUCUAGGACUCAAGAACGCCCCCGGCCUAUUGCCUGCUUCAACUUCCCUCGCACACAACUCGCAAAAUACCCUAGUAUGGUAUGCAUCCCAAAUUGCCUUGUCUGUCUUGUCUGCCUUCUUCGCUGCCUUCUUCGCUGAUUUAUUCGUUGCCUUCUCCAUCUAGUUCAUUUUCACCAUAAUUUAUACCAGAAUACAGCACAAGGAAGAACUAUGUAUAGCAAACAAGCAUGUCCAGCAAGCAAAUAGAAAAAGAUAUGUCCAUCAUGAAACAAGCAUAGCCAUUUGACCCAAGCAGAGCAUCUACAUGUACAUCCAGCAAGCAGAGCAUCCACAACAAGCUUCAAAUAUUAAUUUACCCAUCAAUGAACAACAACUAUGCAUCAAAUAUCAGCAUCAUGUAUGAAGCCUCAAUCAACCAGAGCAUCCACAUCAAGCAAUAUGCAGCAUAUCAAUCAAGCAGGGCAUCCACAAAGAACAGAAAUUUCUGCCAAGAAAAUCUCACCCCAACUGACGACGACAUCGUUGCUCGAGGGAGUGGGCGUCGUUCUCCGGCGGUGGAUGAGAAGGCCAGGCGUUGGCCGGUGAAGGGGACCGGCGAAGACGGUGAGUGGAGGCGGCGACGGCUCUUGCCGCGGCGGUGGCGUCUCUUGCGGUGGGCGAGGACGAGUGGAGGUGGUGGCUACUGACAGCGAGUGGAGGAGGCGGCGGUGGGCAACGGCGAGUGGAGGAGGCGGCGGCGGGCGACGGCGAGCGGAGGAGGCGGCGGCGGGCAACNNNNNNNNNNNNNNNNNNNNNNNNNNNNNNNNNNNNNNNNNNNNNNNNNNNNNNNNNNNNNNNNNNNNNNNNNNNNNNNNNNNNNNNNNNNNNNNNNNNNNNNNNNNNNNNNNNNNNNNNNNNNNNNNNNNNNNNNNNNNNNNNNNNNNNNNNNNNNNNNNNNNNNNNNNNNNNNNNNNNNNNNNNNNNNNNNNNNNNNNNNNNNNNNNNNNNNNNNNNNNNNNNNNNNNNNNNNNNNNNNNNNNNNNNNNNNNNNNNNNGGCGGGCAACGGCGAGUGGAGGCGGCGGCGGCGGCUCUUGCGGUGGGCGAGGACGAGUGGAGGCGGCGGCUACUGACGGCGAGUGGAGGAGGCGGCGGCGGGCGACGGCGAGUGGAGGCCGCGGCGGCGGCUCUUGCGGCGGCGGCGGAACCCUAGGUUCCUCUCCCCUCGCUGUCUCUGUUCGUGCGUGGGCUUGCGAUGAGGGAGACGAGACGAAUGGAUUGAUUGAAACAUGGCUCGAUGGCAUUCCUUUCGUAAUUGCGCUGAACUGUCAAGGGCGUCGGUGGAAAUUUGACCGAGUGAAAUCAGUUUCCUGGUGAAAGCACGACUGGCCUCGCUUCGCCCUAUACCACGUAAAAAGGCCUGAAAUCAUUUUUAACUAUCAGCCGAAAACUGUCCCGUUUUAGCUGUUUGUUACAGCUUUAGCUUAUUUCUACCGAAAACUGCUCUCUAAAACCCAAACAAACACAGCCGUAUGGUAGCGGCCCCGCAAAACUGCAGAUACGUGUCGAAUCCACGCGGCCCAGCUCUCUUUCUCUCCUCUUUCACCAAGCCCUAGGCGCACCACCCUAAGCCACCGCAGCACCGCUGCGGCUUUGCCACCGGAGUUCGUCGGACCACCGUGUGGAUCCCGGUCCGUCGACGCAGGCGAGGGCCUCCGACGCCGAUCGAAGUGCUGCCGCCGCUGUUUGGUUAGUUUUUGGGCCCCCUCAAUUUGCGAUUCAUCCGUGCGGGGACAUGGUAGUUCGGUAGUUUCGGUCCAGCUGAUUGCAGCACAGUACAGGGGCGCUUUGCGACAAUCGCCUCAGGGGGUGGUUAGAUAUGCUGCAUUGAGUAAUCUGGUCGGUUUAUGGCCAACAGAAAUUUGGUAGUUUUGGUCUAGCUGCUCCCCGCCAAUAUCUGCCAUGAGAAUCGAUUUUCACAUGUAUUUGCAGAAAAAGGAAUGUUUUUAUGAGUAAUUAUGAUAGCAGGGCAAGACUAAUCAUUACUAAUGCUUUGGUCCCUUGCCGCUAAUCAAUCAGUGAACUGCAUUGGACAGACCCAGUGCUAGAAGCUCCCACACAAGGUUGGGGAAGGAUUAGUGAGCUGCAUUAGUAGAUGGUUAAAUCGGAUAACAUGCUUAAAGAUCCGAUUUGCUAUUACUCUUUUUUUUUGGGUGGUGGAUUAAUAAGUAAUAGGCAUUGUUUGCACUUGGAGACAUGUGUAGGUGCUGUAGUCAUAAAGGAAAUUGUGGGCCAUUGAUUUCUUGGUGAGUGUCUUGAAGUAACCUUUUUUCCUACCACUAGUAAAACUGAAGCGUGAAGAACCACAUACCUGUUUUAAUCGACGGGCUUGUGCAACAUAGAUAUUUUGGUGAUAAGAGUGGCGGUGAUAACAGAGUAAGCAGGAAUUGGUUUGCAUGGCUAUAGGAAUGUUGUUACUUUUGUUUUACUGAGUGGGCAUGGUUUGCUUAGAUGGUCGUGCGGCUCAGCCUGAAUAGAAUUGGCAAUGCAUCGUUCUGCUCCAGAGAGAUAGAGGAGCAUGCAUGACGAACCACUGUUUCUAUAUUCGCCCAUAGUGGUAUUAUUUGAGGAUAUAUCUCUUUUUUGUUUGAUUCGGCGUUUUCGUGUUAAUUUGAAUAGUAGGGUUCGGACUUAUAUAUCUCCUUAUGUUAGGUUGCUUAUUGCUAUUUUGUGCUCUGUUUUCAGUUUAGCCCGGUUGGUCCUCGACAACAGACUCUUCAGCUUGUUCAGUUCAUGCAAUGCAACCUCUGCGGCAACCGUUUCAACUUGUUGAUCAGGACAUGCCAGAAGCUAACAUGGGGAUGUCAGAGCAGAUGCCACAUUUUCCGCAACUUGGGCACCAUAUGCCUCACUCUGGUCUUGUUCUACCUGCACCACGAGCUGUGCUACCUGGUGGAUAUAUGCCAAACAUGGGUGCCCCUAUGCAGCCUCCGUUUUAUACUGUAUGUGUUUCACUGUUUUAUUUCGAUGUAUGCACAUGGAAGGCUUCUCCCUCGCAGUAGUAUAUAUCUAGAAUGUUUUCUCUUUGCUGACAAGCUAUUAAUUCUACAUUUCAGUAUCAACAAAUGUGGGUUCCUGUUCUAGUUCACCCCCUGGGUUCAACUCAGCAUCACACCAUGUCUCCUUGGCUGCCCUCAGUAAGUAGCAAGACCUUGGGUUCAUUUUCAUCACUUGAUUUUUGUCUGCGACAUAUGAUUAGUUCGUUUGCCACUUCAUUCCAUUUUUGUCUACUACAUAAAAUUGAAAAAGCUUUUCCCAUGCAUAAACUCAGUCUGCAAACUUGCAGGUUAGCUCAUCUGACCCUAGCCCUUUGGAUUGGCAAGAGCACUUUUCACAUGAAGGGAAAAAGUAAGUUGUCUUUGAAUUACUUUUUAACUAAUAACUUCCCUUGUGAUGUAUGGCAGCAUGAUUCAAUGUUACAUGCUUUGGUAUAUCUUACUUAUUGGCUUUGCUUGAUAUCAUUAUUUACCUAGGUACUAUUACAAUAUGAGGACAAAACAAUCAAGUUGGUACAAACCUGUCGAGUUGAUGACACCUUUGGAGGUCAGUUGUGAUGUGUUCUUAUUUGUUGGCUUUCCUACUGUUGUCUUUGUUCUCAUGAAGUCUUGACUAUAGUUUCAUUUUCUAUUUUCAGCAUAUUGUUAUUAUUUUAUCAACCUGUAGAUUUCCAUGGUUGUUUGUCUUGUACAACGCACCUGUGAUAUUGCUACUUUCGGUUUACUUGGAAAAAAGGAACUUCAGAACUUUGCUUGUGUAAGGUGACUAUUUAUCUGCAUUAGUAGCAGUGGCAACUUCUGCAAUGCGUGCCCGUGUUUUAUGCACUGCUUACAUUUUUCUCAUGACUGAUAUCUAAAUUUAAAAAGUUGAUGAACACAAUGGAUCACAUGACCUCAUGAUUAUGCUCUCUUUCAUCAACACAUUAGCAAUACAGCACCCUGGCUUCUUCCAUUUGAUCCGUACAAUUGCUUUCUUCCCAUUUUACUUACCUUUGUUAUAUUUCUAUAUUAUAAAUAUCUUGCAAUUAUUGUCGAUGAUUCUUUGUUUCUAUUCUUCAAGAGGGCAGUGCAAUUUCACUUCAGUGUUUGCUUCUGUUCUUCUGUUUAUAUUAAUGAGCUGUUACGGCUUUUAUUGCAUACCUUCGGUGAUAUAACAGAGGGCUGAUGCGACUACUGCUUGGAAUGAAUAUACUACGGAUGAAGGACGGAAGUAAGUUCGUACUGAAUUUAUUUCGCCACUGGUGUUUUCUUAUUUGGUUGGAAUCAUGGAUUUCCCUCAUUCCAAAGUCUCACUAUUCUACUAUUCCAGGUACUACCACAACAGAGUGACGAAGAAAUCUCAAUGGACUAUUCCUGAGGAGCUGAAGGUUGCUCUUUUUACAUGACAUCCAGAACUAUUGUUUUAUUACAAAAAAGAUUGGAAUGCUUUUACAAUUUCAUUUCGAUUUGUGUUUAGAUUGCACGUGAACUAGCAGAGAAGGCGUCAAGCCAACGGCCUGAUCAGGACGCUCAAACCACUGCUGGUGCCUAUGUUGGAUCCUCUUAUGCUGCUUCAAGCACACACGAUGCAAUGGCGGUCGUUUCUGAAAGAAUAGAUCAAGAGUUGAGGAUUUGAGUCUUGGCCCAUGGUAGCAACAGUUGCUUCAGGCUUCAGGCACACAUGGUGCUGUAGGUAGCGGUCAGUCAUCUGUGGUCUGUGGAACAUUAGAUCAAAAGUUGUUGAUUCGAGGAAAAAGUUCUUAAGAUUUUACCGAAGUUGUUAUAAGGUACCCGUUCCAGAGUUGCUAUACCGUAGUUGCUACUCCUUUGGGUAUAAGCUACCCUGAGUUGUGGUUUUUAGUAGUAAUAUUACUCCUUUCAUCCUUUGGGUAUGUUUACACGGCCAGUAGCCAACUUGUUUUGCACGUUAUUGAGCUGGUUACUGGCGAGUGGGGGUGGUUUUGCCCUUCUCCUGAACAUCAUUGGGUUGGUUUGGGGGCAACUAUAAUGUACUUCCUCCAUUUCUAAAUACAAUACCUUUUAGAGAUUUCAAUGCUGACUAUAUACAGACGUAUAUAGACCUAUUUGUAGAUUCACUCAUUUUGCUUCAUACGUAUUACCCCUGUCCUUGUUUAUUGGUCCCUUUGCAUUUUGUGCUAAAUUUUGACAUUAGAUAAUGAAUGUAUCCAAAAAUAAUCUCAAUGGAAAUUAUGUUUAAAUACAAAUCCAACAAUAUAAUUUUUGAUGACAUGCAUUAUUAUUUUCAUAGUUACAUCUAAUCGUUAUAGUCUGGCCCAAAAUAUUAAGGGCACCAAUAAACCAGAAUGGAGGUAGUGCUCCAUGUCGACAAGGUCUCAAGAGUAAUCUGUAUUGGUGCAUAACAUUCAGAAGGGCAGGACAUCCCCGGCCUUUACGGAUCAGGAGCGCGCCGAUCAGGAGAGCUGUAGUGCUACCAUAUGUCGUAGACAAUGAGCCAAGGGCUACAAUUCAUGACACACAGGCACAGUUCAGGGGAGACAAUUGGGCAACAAACACAAACAGAAAAUACAAGCAACAAACGAUUCAAGAGUCAUAUACCAGCGAGGGCAAACAGCAUCAUUAGGAACAACAAUUCAUCAGACCACCAUAUUACCUGGCAGGUACUACUAGUCUGAUCUCACAGCCCAAACGGAAUAUUGCUCGAGCUAGAUACCAAAUUACCAAAGAUGGAUUCAAUUUGCCAGACAUUGCAAAAUUUUCAGACCAACACCCCUGAAAAACUAGAGUUCAACAUCGGCUUGCUUUUAAAGAUAGACUUCUGUUUAG
Molecule: long non-coding RNA, 29491 nt
Filed under: Triticum aestivum (bread wheat)
Lineage: Eukaryota; Viridiplantae; Streptophyta; Magnoliopsida; Poales; Poaceae
Description: long non-coding RNA (TAES_LNC001865)
Source: RNAcentral